Molecule: transfer RNA, 80 nt
Filed under: Cordylochernes scorpioides
Lineage: Eukaryota; Metazoa; Arthropoda; Arachnida; Pseudoscorpiones; Chernetidae
Description: tRNA-Thr
Rfam family: tRNA (bases 4-69)
About the family: Transfer RNA (tRNA) molecules are approximately 80 nucleotides in length. Their secondary structure includes four short double-helical elements and three loops (D, anti-codon, and T loops).
Source: RNAcentral
UCCAGGGUAGCCUAGUGGACAUGGCAUCUGCCCGGUAAGCGGAACACUGUAGGUUCGAUUCCCUUCCCUUCCCUUUGCAU